CAGUGGGGAAUUUUGGACAAUGGGGGCAACCCUGAUCCAGCAAUGCCGCGUGAGUGAUGAAGGCCUUAGGGUUGUAAAGCUCUUUUGCCAGGGAAGAUGAUGACUGUACCUGGAGAAUAAGCACCGGCUAACUACGUGCCAGCAGCCGCGGUAAUACGUAGGGUGCGAGCGUUAAUCGGAAUUACUGGGCGUAAAGCGUGCGCAGGCGGAUUGUUAAGCAAGAUGUGAAAUCCCCGGGCUUAACCUGGGAAUGGCAUUUUGAACUGGCAGUCUAGAGUGUGUCAGAGGGGGGUGGAAUUCCACGUGUAGCAGUGAAAUGCGUAGAGAUGUGGAGGAACACCGAUGGCGAAGGCAGCCCCCUGGGAUAACACUGACGCUCAUGUACGAAAGCGUGGGUAGCAAACA
This 405-nucleotide ribosomal RNA is filed under the name uncultured bacterium. RNAcentral's name for it is "bacterial SSU rRNA". It matches the Rfam family "Bacterial small subunit ribosomal RNA", at positions 352 to 774 of the family's 1533-position model. The record is from RNAcentral.